This 1110-nucleotide long non-coding RNA is filed under the name Coffea arabica (coffee). RNAcentral's name for it is "long non-coding RNA (CARA_LNC003148)". Lineage: Eukaryota; Viridiplantae; Streptophyta; Magnoliopsida; Gentianales; Rubiaceae. The record is from RNAcentral.
GGGAUAGAAGGGUGCGCGGUGGACGCUGAGACUCACCAACAGAAAUUUAAAUUGUCAAGAAGGGGAAGUAGAAGGGUGCGCGGUGGACGCUGAGACUCACCAACAGGAAAUUAAAUUGAUGCGCGGAGGGACGCGAUUACGCUCCAACAGAAAAUUAAAUUGUCAAGAAGGGGGAUAGAAGGGUGCGCGGUGGACGCUGAGACUCACCAACAUGAAUUUAAAUUGAUGCGCGGAGGGACGCGAUUACGCUCCAAUAGACAAUUAAAUUGAUGCGCGGAGGGACGCGAUUACGCUCCAACAGAAAAUUAAAUUUGUCAAGAAAGGGGAUAGAAGGGUGCGCGGUGGACGCUGAGACUCACCAACAGAAAUUUAAAUUGUCAAGAAGGGGAGGUAGAAAGGUGCGCGGUGGACGCUGAAACUCACCAACAGGAAAUUAAAUUGAUGCGCGGAGGGACGCGAUUACGCUCCAACAGAAAAUUAAAUUUGUCAAGAAGGGGGAUAGAAGGGUGCGCGGUGGACGCUGAGACUCACCAACAUGAAUUUAAAUUGAUGCGCGGAGGGACGCGAUGGACGCUGAGACUCACCAACAGGAAAUUAAAUUGAUGCGCGGAGGGACGCGAUUACGCUCCAACAGAAAAUUAAAUUUGUCAAGAAGGGGGAUAGAAGGGUGCGCGGUGGACGCUGAGACUCACCAACAGGAAAUUAAAUUGAUGCGCGGAGGGACGCGAUUACGCUCCAACAGAAAAUUAAAUUGUCAAGAAGGGGGAUAGAAGGGUGCGCGGUGGACGUUGAGACUCACCAACAGAAAUUUAAAUUGUCAAGAAGGGGAGGUAGAAGGUGCGCGGUGGACGCUGAGACUCACCAACAGGAAAUUAAAUUGGAUCUUCUUGAUUGAUGAUUUUUUUUUUUUUUUUAAAAAAAAAACAGAUUGGUGGGAUUGACCCGAGCCCAAUUAAACACUGAAAGAAAUGAAAAUGCAAGUUCAAUAUUAUCAAACUGAAUGAUUAAAAUGCACGUUGCUCAAGUUGGUGGAUUUGCAAUCUCUCUUUUUUUUUCCAAAUUUUAGAAGAAAUGAAAGAAACACACCUUUUUUUUUUUUUUUUUUUUUUU